UGGGGUUAAGAUAUGAAACGACGUAGACAAUAAUUUAUUUAUGAAUUGUAUCUAUUUAUUUAUAAUUGCUGGGGAAACAAAAUAGUGGAAGACGAAUGAAUAAAAGAAAGAUGACAGAAUGCAGAAUAAUGAAGAAAAUGUUAACCAAAGAGAAGAGCAAGAUGUUUCAGUUCAGUAUGACUUUUCUAUUAAAUUUUCAAACAACUCAAAAAGUCAGAACUUAUUAGUUAACAAAAAAACAUUACACAGUGAGGAUGAAACUUCUAAAUCAGAAAGGGAUUCUCGUUUAUUAAAUGGGAAUACAAAGUCAGGGAAUUAUGGUGCAGUAAGUUCUGGGGAAUCACUGCGAAAAAGUCCCGCAAGUAAUUGUUAUGACGAGGAAUUUAUUGACCCAGUGGUAAAUCAGGACAACAAAUAUUUUGAGCCAGUGAAAGGUCAGGACAAAUUUACAGAUGGCCGAAAUGUGAACCCAACAGGAAAAGAAAUUCAGAAUGUCAUUGUUGAGACAUCAUUAAUUUCAUCAAACUCUGAGGAUGAAGGAUUAGAAAACAAAAUUCAGGGAUCUUGUGAUGAUCAGGGGGACAUUGAGUCUCCAGAUUUAUCAACUCCUACAUUUUCAUUCCGUGCCUUAGGCAGCCGACAUAAACUUAUCUUAAUAAGUGUAUCCUUGUGCAGUUUUCUGAGCUACCUGUGUUUGUCGUUGAUAGCACCAUUCUUUCCUAGUGAGGCUGCAUCCAAGAAUGUCAGUGAUUCUGUGUCAGGAUGGAUAUUUGGAAUUUUUGCUUUAACACAGUUUUUAAUAUCGCCUGUAUCUGGUAAAUUGUUGCCAUUAAUGGGGUUGAAGUUCAUGUACAUUGGCGGUCUAUUCAUAGCAGCAGGCUGUACAGUAUUAUUUGGGAUUCUAACCUACAUAGACACUAGCAGUGAGAAUAUUACCUUCAUUAUCUAUUGUUUCUUACUGAGAAUCAUCCUAGCUAUAGGUUGUUGUGGUCUUCAGACAGCAAGUUUUGCUCUAGUUGCCAAAGAAUUCCCAGACUCAGUUGCUACUGUUUUUGGUAUAACAGAGGUAUUUGUUGGAGUUGGUUUCAUGUCUGGUCCUGCUAUAGGAGGAUUUCUGUAUGGUAGUGGAGGUUUUAUCAUGCCAUUUGCAGUAGUCGGUGCUAUCAUGUUUCUAUGUGUCCCAUUUAAUUUUUGGUUGAUUCCAGUAGAUACAGUUGUUGAAAAGUCUUCCAGUUCUAAGAUCUCAUUCUGGGUGAUGAUGAAGUCCCCCAAGACUAUAAUUAACAGUUUCUCAACAUUAGUGGCUGCCAUGAUUUAUUCCAUUCUGGACCCAACACUAGAACCACAUCUGAGUGGCUCUUUCAAUUUAGAAGCUGAUAUCAUUGGUCUUCUAUUUUUGCUGAUGGCUGCAUUUUAUGCCAUUAUGUCACCUAUAGCUGGAUGGAUUUGUGAUAAAUUGCCAGAUAACCGUGGAGUAUUGAUACCAGGUUUUAUUAUUUCUGCUGUUGGUAUGCUGUUCCUCGGUCCUUCAGAAAUCCUUGGACUUAAAGAUUUAUUAGAUGACCAGCUAUGGUUAAACAUAGUAUCCCUUAUUGUACUUGGUAUUGGAUCCAGUUUAGCACUGAUACCAACAUUUGAUAUUUAUGUUAGCAUAGCAGAAGAGCUAGGAUUCGAUGAUGAUUUAGGAAUGUAUGGUAUUGUAGCAGGUCUGUGGGGAUCAAUGUAUGCUAUAGGGGAUUUUCUGGGACCAACAAUUGGUGGUACAUUGCUAGAUAUAUAUGGUUUUCCAUUUUGUUGUACUAUAACAGCAGGAGCAUGUUUAUUUAUGGUCCCCUUACUGUUAUUUUCAUGGCUGUAUGAUACUAGAUGUUGUAGACAAAAUUCCUGGAAGACUAACCCAAUUAUCAGUGAAACUACACCACUGCUUGCCGAUAGUUUACAGGAUUAUGAACAUGAUGUGUUGUCAACUUAUCCUCCACAAAAGCAAACUGCAGUAACAGUGACUUGAGGUUAUGUCAAUAUCUGUGAUAAAUGUAUUAAGUGCCAUUUGUCUUUCUUCACAAUUGUUUUUGGUUGACAUUAUUUGAGUUAGAGUUAUUUCCCUUUGUAACCAUCCUGCACAAUAUCCUUCAUAAAUCAAACACAUUCAAACAGUUUUACUGACUAAUACACUUAACAAUUUUAACUUGUUUAUGUCAUACAUAAUUCAUUUAUGAUCUUGUUAGGAUUUCACCUUGACCUGCCUGAUUCACAGGUUUUAAUUUGGUUUCUAAAAAAAGAAAAUUAUAAACAUCCAGCGAUUAAUAAAAAUCAAAUAUCAAUAAAUCUUCAAUGGUUGAUAAACUACCAUCUAGGGUGAAAAACCAUUAACUUUCUUUUUAUCUAUAUUUCUUUGGCAACAUCAAUGCUGUUUGGUUUAUGAUGGCAUAACGUUCAUCAAAAUUCCAUCUCAGUCAAGUAGUAUUAGACGGCAAAUUAUCAUACUGAAAUAUCAAAUGAUAUAUGAUUAAAACUAUACUAAUUCUUUACAUUAACUUUUUUGCAAUUAGGUAUUUUGUAAUUGUAUUUAUUCAGUAAUCAUUUUAACAGAUAACUCUUAUGAAUAUUGUGUUAUGACUAUACUUUAUUUUAUUUGUAUUGACAAAGGUCUAGUAAUUCAGCAUUAUUUACCUAUAUACUUACGUGAAAAACUUCAGGACAGUUAAUUUGUGAUUCAGGAAAAGUUUAAAUACAGCAUUUUUGAAUGCUAAUAUUGUUGAUAUUUGUUAAAUGUAUGUAAGAACGGAAAUGUGAUAUCCGAUAUAUGUAAUACAUUGUUAUGCAAGUGUUAAAGUAAGAUGAUAAACUUUAUAUAAGACGGUUGUGAUCAGGCUUUAUAUAUUCUAAUCAUGGUAAUAUAUAUAUGUAGUUAAGACAUGCAAUCUAGUUUUUAAAUGAAGAUAUAUAAUAUGUUAUUGAGAUGGGUGUCAAAUAAAUUGUUAAGAAAAAUCAAAACAAUUAAAAGAGGAAUAAAAACCACACUUCAAAAUAUUGUUUUCACAUUGAAAAUUCAGGUCAAGACGUCAAUGUUAACGUUUUUAUCUUUUGUAGUUUCAUGAAAAAGAAAGUUUUAUUAUUAUCACGUUAUAUUUGCCAUGUUGAGGUUGCUGUUAAUUCUCUCAUUUAAAAGUUCUUCUUUCUAUUGAAAACAAUAAUUGUUCAGCUUGACAGCAAACCUGGAUCUAUAUGUAGGGAGGACUUCUUUGGUCGUCUGCGUCAAAUUUUGUUAUCUGAAAAAUAAAAAAUAAAAGUGCUAGUCACUAUUUAACUUUAAUGCUCAUAAAUAUACUAGUUUUUAGGGCAUCCAAUUGUACAACUUUGAAAAUGAGAUGAUACAAUUCCACCAAAUAUGUACAGAUUUUGUACAGGAUUUCGAAUAAGGCAGACGUUUUUUGGGGUUUUGUUUUAUGAUUUGGGCUAUCUUAUUUUAAAAUAUGUCCGGCUAUAUCUUUGCCAUUUCUGUUUGAUGCUACAUCUUCCUGGAAAUACUCUCUAAUUUUAUCUUUAAUGUUUUUUUUUUCAAUGAAGUUCAAUAACAUUUUGUGUCCUACAAAAAAAAUUCAAAUGACAAUUAGUGUUUUGGUUUGAUAUUUUAAUUUAGGAAAAUCGAUAAGUAUCUUUUACUGACUGCAGUAAAUUAUAAAUAAUAUGAAAAAAAUGCAUUCCAAUUAAAUAAAGAGUUAUUUUCACUUAUUUGCUUUAUACAAGGUUUUGGAAUGACAAUUAAUUUGUAUGUUAAUAAGAAAGAAUAUUUAUAUCAUAAAAGGAGCAUUACAAGUCAUGUGUUAUUUCUAUGUUGGUCUCUACUAACUAUGUACAUUCAAAGGAAGGCCAAUGUAUAUUUCUGGUUUGGGAUUUAUUAACAGUGGACCAAGGGAGUUACUUGUUUAUUGCAAUGUUGGGGACUAUUAAGAUGUACCUAACAGGUAUGUUACUUUUACGCCUGCCAGUAUAUAGCAGUAUUGUCUAUAUAAAAACAGGGCUCUCUCCACAACUGUAGCAUUAUUUUAAGAUAUCAUCUUGCUUUAAGAAAUUAUUGCAUCACAUCCAUAGCACAAUCUAUAAGAAAAUUAUUUUAAAUAGCACCACUUUCCAGGAGUAUAGUAUCACAUUACCUUGAUGCUAAAGACCCUUUGACGAACACUAAACCAUAUAUAAAUAUAUGUUUGUGGCCGACUGCAGGAGAGUUACAUGUUAAUUACGGAAAAACUACAGCAUUAAUGAGUUGAUGAUUGUGAUAACUUGGUUCAGGGAUAUUUAUGGCAUACUUUGAAUUUGACCUUUACCAGGAAGCUGUAGAACUUAGGCCCGGAAUGAUAAAGCUUUGUAUAGCAUAUAGAAUUUUACAGGUAUGUUUUAAUGUACUGUUUCCAAAAAUCUGUUUAACAGAUGACCAGUGAGAUUCUGUAAAUUAUUGAAACCCUAAUUAGUCUUAAGAUUAUCAAGUGAAAAAAAAACAUCUAUUUAAGGUUUAUUAUAAAGUGUAUUGAUAUGAUUUUUUAACAUCACAGACCGUAUCAAUCCUCAACCAAUAUAAUCCUUUGAGCAGAUUUCCUCGGAUUAUAUUGGUGUAUUUGGUUGCUAUAGUUGUGAUAUUGAUUAUUCUCUAUUUGUAUAUUGGUCAAUGAUUUUGAUUACGUUUAUAUCUUUAUAAGUUAUUUACUAAUACAUUUUUUUUUAAA
RNA transcript from Mytilus californianus (California mussel), 4721 nucleotides. It is a transcript of the gene named MFS-type transporter SLC18B1-like, with no coding region annotated. The transcript is spliced from 16 exons. The record is from RefSeq and is a predicted model, not a curated record. NCBI's taxonomy places the organism in Eukaryota, Metazoa, Mollusca, Bivalvia, Mytilida, Mytilidae.